CCUACGGGAGGCAGCAGUGAGGAAUAUUGGUCAAUGGGCGGGAGCCUGAACCAGCCAAGUCGCGUGAGGGAAGAAGGUACUGAGUAUUGUAAACCUCUUUUGCCAGGGGCCAAAGGCGGCCACGGGUGCCCGUAGGGGGUUCCCUGGAGAAAAAGCUUCGGCUAACUCGGUGCCAGCGGCCGCGGUAAUACGUAGGUGGCAAGCGUUAUCCGGAUUUACUGGGUGUAAGGGGCGUGUAGGCGGGGACGCAAGUCAGAUGUGAAAACCAUGGGCUCAACCUGUGGCCUGCAUUUGAAACUGUGUUUCUUGAGUACUGGAGAGGCAGACGGAAUUCCUAGUGUAGCGGUGAAAUGCGUAGAUAUUAGGAGGAACACCAGUGGCGAAGGCGGUCUGCUGGACAGCAACUGACGCUGAGGCGCGAAAGCGUGGGGAGCAAACAGGAUUAGAUACCCUAGUAGUC
RNAcentral lists this ribosomal RNA (460 nucleotides) under uncultured bacterium. RNAcentral's name for it is "partial 16S ribosomal RNA". It matches the Rfam family "Bacterial small subunit ribosomal RNA", at positions 338 to 795 of the family's 1533-position model. The record is from RNAcentral.